UCCUGGCUCAGAUUGAACGCUGGCGGCAGGCCUAAUACAUGCAAGUCGAACGGUAACAUAAAAGAAGCUUGCUCUUUUGAUGACGAGUGGCGGACGGGUGAGUAAUGCGUGAGCAACCUGCCUUUCAGAGGGGGACAACAGUUGGAAACGACUGCUAAUACCGCAUGACAUAUUUGGAUCGCAUGAUCUGGAUAUCAAAGAUUUAUCGCUGAAAGAUGGGCUCACGUCUGAUUAGUUAGUUGGUGAGGUAACGGCUCACCAAGACUGCGAUCAGUAGCCGGACUGAGAGGUUGAACGGCCACAUUGGGACUGAGAUACGGCCCAGACUCCUACGGGAGGCAGCAGUGGGGAAUAUUGGGCAAUGGGCGCAAGCCUGACCAGCAACGCCGCGUGAAGGAAGAAGGCUUUCGGGUUGUAAACUUCUUUUGUCAGGGACGAGUAGAAGACGGUACCUGACGAAUAAGCCACGGCUAACUACGUG
Molecule: ribosomal RNA, 481 nt
Filed under: uncultured bacterium
Lineage: Bacteria
Description: bacterial SSU rRNA
Rfam family: Bacterial small subunit ribosomal RNA
Source: RNAcentral